CUGACGCUGAGUCACGAAAGCGUAGGGAGCAAACAGGAUUAGAUACCCUGGUAGUCUACGCUGUAAACGAUGCACACUUGGUGUUAAUCGAAAGGUUAGUACCGAAGCUAACGUGUUAAGUGUGCCGCCUGGGGAGUAUGUUCGCAAGAAUGAAACUCAAAGGAAUUGACGGGGGCCCGCACAAGCGGUGGAGCAUGUGGUUUAAUUCGAUGAUACGCGAGGAACCUUACCAGGGCUUGACAUAUACAGGAUAUAGUUAGAGAUAACUAUUCCCCGUUUGGGGUCUGUAUACAGGUGCUGCAUGGUUGUCGUCAGCUCGUGCCGUGAGGUGUUGGGUUAAGUCCCGCAACGAGCGCAACCCUUGUUAUCUGUUACCAAAA
RNAcentral lists this ribosomal RNA (380 nucleotides) under Borrelia miyamotoi. RNAcentral describes it as "bacterial SSU rRNA". It matches the Rfam family "Bacterial small subunit ribosomal RNA", at positions 740 to 1123 of the family's 1533-position model. Lineage: Bacteria; Pseudomonadati; Spirochaetota; Spirochaetia; Spirochaetales; Borreliaceae. The record is from RNAcentral.